GAUGAACGCUGGCGGCGUGCCUAAUACAUGCAAGUCGAGCGAACAGACGAGGAGCUUGCUCCUCUGACGUUAGCGGCGGACGGGUGAGUAACACGUGGAUAACCUACCUAUAAGACUGGGAUAACUUCGGGAAACCGGAGCUAAUACCGGAUAAUAUAUUGAACCGCAUGGUUCAAUAGUGAAAGACGGUUUUGCUGUCACUUCUAGAUGGAUCCGCGCCGCAUUAGCUAGUUGGUAAGGUAACGGCUUACCAAGGCGACGAUGCGUAGCCGACCUGAGAGGGUGAUCGGCCACACUGGAACUGAGACACGGUCCAGACUCCUACGUGAGGCAGCAGUAGGGAAUCUUCCGCAAUGUGCGAAAGCCUGACGGAGCAACGCCGCGUGAGUGAUGAAGGUCUUCGGAUCGUAAAACGCUGUUAUUAGGGAAGAACAAAUGUGUAAGUAACUAUGCACGUCUUGACGGUACCUAAUCAGAAAGCCACGGCUAACUACGUG
This 497-nucleotide ribosomal RNA is filed under the name uncultured bacterium. Its description in RNAcentral is "partial 16S ribosomal RNA". It matches the Rfam family "Bacterial small subunit ribosomal RNA", at positions 28 to 507 of the family's 1533-position model. The record is from RNAcentral.